Molecule: long non-coding RNA, 1033 nt
Filed under: Salvia miltiorrhiza (redroot sage)
Lineage: Eukaryota; Viridiplantae; Streptophyta; Magnoliopsida; Lamiales; Lamiaceae
Description: long non-coding RNA (SMIL_LNC001864)
Source: RNAcentral
UUGUUUCCAGCUUUUUUUUUCGAAAUUAAUAUUAUUUAUUUUUAUUGAUGAUUAAAUUAUUUAUUUAUAUUCGAAAAUUAUGUUUUAUUUAUUUGUUUCCACUAAUUUUAUGACUCUCCUAAAAAUAAUCCUAUUUUUGUUUCCACAUAUUAUUUUUUUAUUGUUUUGAAAAUAUUUUUUUCUUCUGAAAUUUUGUAUUUUUAUAUUCGAAAAUUAUGUUAGUUUUUUCUGAAGAUUUAUUUUUUUAUUUUUUUCAAAAAUUAUGUUAUUUUUAUUUGUUUCCACUAAUUUGGAUAUUCUUCUAAAAAUAAUCCUAGAUUUGUUUUCACUAAUUUAGAUAUUCUCAUUCUACACAAAAUAAUCCUAGAUUUGUUUCCACUAAUUUAGAGAUUCUCCUAAAAUAAUACAAGAUUUUUUUCCACGCAUAUUAUUUUUUUUUCUGAAAAUUCUAUUAUUUAUAUUUUUCGAUAAUGUUUUUAUUCAUUUGUUUACACAUAUUUAAGGAUUAUCCUAAAAAUAAUUGUAGAUUUGAUUCCUCACGUAUUAUUUUUCCUUGGAAAUUUUAUUUUUAUUUUUUCAAAAAUUAUGAUUUUUUUCCACUAAUAAGUAAGUAAUAUUAAUACUUGUAAAUAAUUAAGUAAUCUUUUUUUUUUACUUAAAUUUAAAAUUCUUACGUAGGUUUAUUAGAUUAAAGAGCUUGAAUGCACACCAGAUGUUGACAAUCUUAAGGAACCAAAAAAAAAAUCAUAUAGUAAAAGAAGGAAAUUAAACAAACCAAAAAACAAAUUAAGAGGAGUAUAACUUAAGGGAAAAAAGAUGCACAAUUAAAAAUUAAAAAAAAUAAAAAAAAAAAAUACACCCCUUGAAGGGGCAUGGAGGAUUCAAACCCACAACCUCCAUUACAUAUGAAUGAUACUUUGCCACCUUACCCGGUACUGGCAACUACAUUAAUUCAUGGUUGGAAAUUAACUUAUGUGUUGCUGUCGCGUAAUUAUUGAAAAAAAAAAAAACACCCCCCUCUUUAAGGAGCAUG